This is a non-coding RNA of Sus scrofa (pig), 1828 nucleotides long. The record is from RefSeq and is a predicted model, not a curated record. NCBI's taxonomy places the organism in Eukaryota, Metazoa, Chordata, Mammalia, Artiodactyla, Suidae.
GGUUUUGAGUGCGGUUUUCUCUCCUUGCUUGGCAACUCUCUGAGUAAACUGCAAAUCUCUCUGCCACAAGUCUUGUCAUCUCAAGAGUUUGGCUUGCUGUAAGAUGAACAAGAAGAACCUGGCAGAGGACAUAUUGGAAGAUGAGGCUCUAGAAGGACGCUACUAGAAACCCUACAUUGCAUGGCCAAUUGGAAGAGAAGGACUUGCAGAGAGGAUAGAAAAGAAGCAGGGUGAGGCUACGAGAAGUCAUCCACCUGAAGCCAGCAAGAGAGCUCACACCAGCAGCAGACCGCGUGGCACCCAAUCCUCAACUCCCAGCCUCCAGAACUGUGUAAGACAGUACUUUCUGGUGUUUAUAGGCUACAUAGUUUAUGGAAUUUUAGUUGUAGCAGCCUGAACAGAGUAAGAGAAGUAAGUUUCUUGUGAACUUGAGUAAACAAAAUUUAAAAUACAUGAAGUCCCCAUAUAAGUAGUUCAAAAAGCACUUGUAUAGGCAAGAAAGAGUAGACAUACUUUUGACCUGUUCCUCCCUUGAGUACAGUUAAAAUACUGGCCAUUAUGUAUAACAUGACACAAGCAGACUGAAAGGUGGAGAGAAGAAGAUAAACUGACUGGGUUCCUGGGACCCAAGGAGCAGGAGCGGCAUGGUGAUGGGCUUCUCAGGUUUUGUCUUUACACUCACAUAUCAUAGACGCAGCAGCUGCUGGAGAAAUCAGCUGAGUAGCAAACAUCAAUGGGUAAAAACAAAGAAACAAACAAAACCAAGGGGAAAAACAUACUUUAUUUAAGCCAAAAGACAAGGCUUAAAGGACAAAAGAAUACCUAUAUAGUAACAGCCAUACACUACACAUACACCAAGUCCAAACACUCUUCCCUAGCCUAGAUUCCUCCCUGGUGAUGCUGCUAUGAGAUGCUCAUCCCACACCCUCCCCCAGGUGGUAUCUGAAAAGAUGAAGGAGGCUCUCUCCACCAGGUGAUGUGGGACACCACUUCCUUGCUCAAAGUGUUAUUACUAAAGGGUAGAAGUAAGGUACAUGGGUGUUAAAAAAAAAUCCAAUUAAUGCUAGUUUUGAAUGCUUAUAAAUGUCUUUUGAUGAAAUGUGUUUAAGUAUAGAAGUCAAAAGAACUCAUAUUUCUUCCUAAGGAUUCUACACCGUUGUACACAAACCUUUUAAAAUUGCACUUUAAAAAUCAAUACAUUAUUUAUAUUAGGUAAGGAUAUUGUAGAGAAUAUAUAAACACACAUAAGUAUCUCUGCACACAUGGAUAUGCAUAUAAGACUAAUGAACUUAACUAUUAAAGAUAGAUCAGAUACUUGUGGCUUUGGAUAUAUUUUCAAAGGAUAGUGUAAUUAAUGGAUGUAAAAACCUUUGUGUAUCAAAUAUUUCUCAUAGAGGAAAACAUGUACUUUGUAAAACUAUUUUGAUUGUUGAAAAGUGGUUCAUGCAAUGAUGAAGAAACUGAUGGAGAAGAUGAAUGUUAAGAGAAUCAAUAUGUGUUUUUCAUAAAUUGUGAUAGUGGUUAAAAGUUAUAUAACAAGGGAGUUCCCUGGUGGCCUAGUGGUUAAGGAUCUGGUGUUGUCACUGCUGUGGCACAGGUUCAUUCCCUGACCUGAAAUUCCCAUGUGCUGAGGGCAUGGACAAAAAAAAAAUUGUAUGACAAACAAUAGAUGACACUUGCUAUUAUGUGAUAAUAAUAGCCAGGCUUUUCCCCCCCUAAAAUAUAUUUCCCAUACUGGAAGUUACUCUAUUCCCCUAAUUAUACCUUGUUCAUUUUUCCAUAUCCAAUGUAUACAUUAAGAGCCUGGUUUGUAUUUUCAGUGAGUGAA